UAAAUUCUGACAUUUUAUUGAAUAUUUUAUUCAGACUCAAACAUCAGUGACAAGUGAACAGGAGGUUCUUGUUUUCUGACUACAUGUACAAAUAAGAUUCACAUAUAAUUUUUCAAACAAACUCACUAGAAUAUUUAAAUUGGCAGUUAUCUUAAAAGCUUUACGCCCAUUUUUAAGAAAAAGUGAAAAAAAGUUCCUUAUAGACUACUAUAUGGGG
RNAcentral lists this long non-coding RNA (217 nucleotides) under Mytilus galloprovincialis (Mediterranean mussel). Lineage: Eukaryota; Metazoa; Mollusca; Bivalvia; Mytilida; Mytilidae. The record is from RNAcentral.